Oncorhynchus gorbuscha (pink salmon) is the source of this 425-nucleotide long non-coding RNA. RefSeq lists it as uncharacterized. The transcript has 3 exons. The record is from RefSeq and is a predicted model, not a curated record. Lineage: Eukaryota; Metazoa; Chordata; Actinopteri; Salmoniformes; Salmonidae.
UCAGGACCUGUGAGAAGCUCCUGACUGCAGCGUGCAGUUCAGGGCCGGGCUCAAUGUGGGCGGAAUCAAACAUCGGGGCAGGGCUCAAUGUGGGUGGAGUCAAAUGUGUUUAACCCGAACCCUUCCCGUCUCCUUCAAGGUCACCCAAGUUGAGGUAAACGUCAAAGGUAUCAACGUCAACAAAUCUUAAUCGAACCUACAUGGAUAAAAAUAUAAACCAUGGAAAAACAUUGCUCGGAUCUUGUCCCCUGGACCUUGGAGGACUUUUGGUGUGGAUGAUGUUCAGGGCCUACAAAGCAAGGUUUCUCAAACAACUGGGAGGAGUUUGUUUUGAAGGUAAGAUGCUGGCUAUUCAGUAUAUUAUAUUUUUUCUGUUAUAACAUUUGAAAAGCUAUUACUAUUUCUGUUCUUGCAGCAUGAAAAGC